Oreochromis niloticus (Nile tilapia) is the source of this 797-nucleotide long non-coding RNA. RefSeq annotates it as immunoglobulin lambda-like polypeptide 1. The transcript is spliced from 3 exons. NCBI's taxonomy places the organism in Eukaryota, Metazoa, Chordata, Actinopteri, Cichliformes, Cichlidae. The record is from RefSeq and is a predicted model, not a curated record.
CUAAAAUCUUUGGCAAAUUGAUAAGAAAAUAUGGAUGUGGUACACAUGCAAACUGAUAUGAGAAAUUUAAAUGUGCACUUUGUUUCUCUUACUGGCAUAAACACACCUCACACCUGCUGUUUGUGAUGCUCUGUUGCUCUUUGCAUUCUUUCACUUUUGUGUUUUGGUACUUUUUUGAGACCUGGUUGUUACUCAAUGCUUCCGCUUGCUGCUUGCCCUGAUCACACUGCCUUAUCAUGCAUAACAACUGUGCAACAGACUUCCUGCCCUAUUUUCGCCUUACUGAACAUUUACCAGAAUCUGAAGUGCCAUGGAUUGUGUCGCCAAACAUCACAUUGUACCCAGUCUCGGAUGGGGAAUUUGGAAUCUUACCAAUAAGGCUCAUCUGGACCCUAAAUGGCUUCUUUCCAGACAAACUGGCUUUGGAGUGGUUUCAGGAUAAAUCACCACUGUGCCAAAACAAGAAGCCAAGCAGAACGAAGCUACAAAGUGAAGGGACAGAGCAGAAAACCUUUAGCCUGAGCAGCAAACUCUCAGUGUGGGGACAAGGAUCAACUUUUACCUGCAAAGCUAAUCACAAUUAUACUGAAUAUAAGAAGACAAUAAGCAUUUGUCACAAAAUUCACCUUCCAUUCAUGUGGAGAUUCCCAAGUUCAAGACUUAAGCGUCAGACUCUAAUGUGCAAGGAACAUGUUGGGUCCACACUAAUUUUGAUGCCAUGAUCUCCUGGCUGAGAGAUUGGCGCCACAAAUGAAAGAAAUGUGCAGAGAGUAAAACACAACUCUUAUUAUCAGUAA